Molecule: long non-coding RNA, 1246 nt
Filed under: Struthio camelus australis
Lineage: Eukaryota; Metazoa; Chordata; Aves; Struthioniformes; Struthionidae
Description: lncRNA (ENSSCUG00000001104.1)
Source: RNAcentral
AUGAGGCCCUGCCAGGCACCCUACAAACACAGAACAGUGGACGGCCCCUUGCCACAGUCCAAGGACUUGUCCACACGGGGAAGUUACUGCUCAUUAAAUGAAGGUGUGUGCAUGAAAAGUAGUUCUUCGUGCUGGGCAGUUUGCUCCACACGGUGCGUCUCCGGGAGGUUUCAGCGCAUUGUGAAUCCCCAGGUUAACCUACCACGCAAGCAAGUUCCAGCACUGGCUGCAGGGAUCCCAAGGUGAGAAUGGAUUUCAUCUUCUUCUGAAAGAGGACGCAGAGAGCAUGGCUGGCAGCAACAUGCAACUUAGACUAAAAUGCAGAAUGUCAGAAAGAUUUAGGUUGAACCCUGGAGGUCUCUACUCCAACUAGCUAUUCAAAGCAGAUCUAGACUUCAAGGUAGAUCAGAGAAGUUUUCAACAUCUCUGUGGACAGAAAUUCUGCAACCUCUCUGUGAAACCAGAGAGUUUUACUUCCAGUGUUUGACUAGUCUCCUGGUGAAGAACUUUUUCCUAUUAGCCAGUCAGAACUUCUUUCGUUGAGUUUUGCGAUCAUUGCCUCUUGUCCUUUUGCUGAGCAACUCUGAGAAGAAUCUAGCUCUGCCUUCUCUACAAUCCCCCUUUAGAGAGCUGAGGACAGCAAUUAGAUCUUCCCUUGGCCUUUUCUUCUCCGGGUUAAACAUACGCAGUUCCCUCAGCCCCUCGUCCUCUGUUACUCAUUCCACCCCCCAACAUUGAAGCAUUUUACCCUAAAUUAAUGUGAACAUUAUUCCAUAACUGCAGAGGUCCAAACCAGGACACCCACUGACCUCCGGAAUAGCAGAAUAUCACCCUGUGUAUUUUUAAUGAUGAAAUGACAACAUUUUAAAAUCAUUUGAGGGUUUUUUCCUCCUUGUGUAUAGGAUAAAUGUUGCUAUAAAUAACACAGUAAGUGAAAAACAAUCUGUCAGUGUUUUCCUUCUGCACUGUCUGAACAAUCUACAUGUAAAGUUCGUUUAAAACUUAUUAUGAUGCUUUAAAACAUUUCUGAGAAAAGAUCUUUUAUUUAUGUUGAGUUAUAUUUUCUUACAAGUUGUACAAAAUAUAGCAACAAAUUACAGCACAGCAGGUGACUGUCCCCCUCUGCCAGGUAUUAAGCCUGUAGCUUGGCCAGCUGAGCCACACUAAGCAGCAGAUAAAACCUGCAGAUUGACCAGACCCAACUGGCACCUGCAGAAUUAACACCUGCAAUUUUGCUCUGCUAAGU